AUUCCAGCUCCAAUAGCGUAUAUUAAAAUUGCUGCAGUUAAAAAGCUCGUAGUUGGAUCUUGGGCGCAGGCUGGCGGUCCGCCGCAAGGCGCGCCACUGCCCGCCUGGCCUUCCUCUCGGUCUCCGCCCGGUUCUCUUGACUGAGUGCCGGGCGCGGCCGAAACGUUUACUUUGAAAAAAUUGGAGUGUUCAAAGCAGGCCGUGAGCCUGGACAGCAGAGCAUGGAAUAAUGGAAUAGGACCUCGGUUCUAUUGCGUUGGUUUUCGGAACUCGAGGUAAUGAUUAAGAGGGACUGACGGGGGCAUUCGUAUUGCGGUGUGAGAGGUGAAAUUCUUGGAUCGCCGCAAGACGACCGACUGCGAAAGCAUUUGCCAAGAAUGUUUUCAUUG
Molecule: ribosomal RNA, 389 nt
Filed under: Echinodermata sp.
Lineage: Eukaryota; Metazoa; Echinodermata
Description: partial small subunit ribosomal RNA
Rfam family: Eukaryotic small subunit ribosomal RNA
Source: RNAcentral